Molecule: ribosomal RNA, 386 nt
Filed under: uncultured bacterium
Lineage: Bacteria
Description: bacterial SSU rRNA
Rfam family: Bacterial small subunit ribosomal RNA
Source: RNAcentral
AUUGAACGCUGGCGGCAUGCCUUACACAUGCAAGUCGAACGGCAGCACGGGAGCAAUCCUGGUGGCGAGUGGCGAACGGGUGAGUAAUAUAUCGGAACGUGCCCAGUCGUGGGGGAUAACGUAGCGAAAGCUACGCUAAUACCGCAUACGAUCUAUGGAUGAAAGCGGGGGAUCGCAAGACCUCGCGCGAUUGGAGCGGCCGAUAUCAGAUUAGGUAGUUGGUGAGGUAAAGGCUCGCCAAGCCGACGAUCUGUAGCUGGUCUGAGAGGACGACCAGCCACACUGGGACUGAGACACGGCCCAGACUCCUACGGGAGGCAGCAGUGGGGGAAUUUUUGGGACAAUGGGCGCAAGCCUGAUCCAGCAAUGCCGCGUGCAGGAUGAAG